UCAUCUACUGGCUGUACUGGGUAGACCAGAGGAACCAGGCUCUGAUGGGUGACCAGUCCUCUUCUGGCUCUGCCGGGUGGAGAUUAUAACAGAACAUGGUAAAGUUUUUCAAAUGUUCAUAGAUGAUCAGCAGGAGAUUGCAACAGAAUGUAUCACUAUCAGUACAUAGUAACUACUGUGAGUCAACAGUAGGUAGUAGGAAUAUUGGGACACAGCAGUGAGUCAACAGUAGGUAGUAGGAAUAUUGGGACACAGACAGUGAGUCAACAGCAGGUAGUAGGAAUAUUGGGACACCACCAGUGAGUCAACAGCAGGUAGUAGGAAUAUUGGGACACAGACAGUGAGUCAACAGCAGGUAGAAGGAAUAUUGGGACACAACCAGUGAGUCAACAGCAGGUAGUAGGAAUAUUGGGACACAGACAGUGAGUCAACAGCAGGUAGUAGGAAUAUUGGGACACAGGCAGUGAGUCAACAGUAUGUAGUAGGAAUAUUGGGACACCACCAGUGAGUCAACAGCAGUUAGUAGGAAUAUUGGGACACCACCAGUGAGUCAACAGCAGGUAGUAGGAAUAUUAGGACACAACAGUGAGUCAACAGUAGGAAUAUUGGGACACAGCCAGUGAGUCAACAGUAGGAAUAUUGGGACACCACCAGUGAGUCAACAGCAGGUAGUAGGAAUAUUGGGACAGACAGUGAGUCAACAGUAGGAAU
Non-coding RNA from Oncorhynchus mykiss (rainbow trout), 711 nucleotides. NCBI's taxonomy places the organism in Eukaryota, Metazoa, Chordata, Actinopteri, Salmoniformes, Salmonidae. The record is from RefSeq and is a predicted model, not a curated record.